UGCAGAUUCUCCCCCGACGCCACUAUGAAGUUGUCGUACUCCAGGUUGUCAUAAACUUACAGGCCUCAGGACCCUCUUUGCCUCCUGCAGAACUUUGUUGGUGUCUUUGACCGAGCACAGAACCAGAGUGCAAACCACAGCAUCCACCGAGCUGUCCUCCACCGCCUGCAGAUUCUCCCCCGACGCCACUAUAAAGCUGUCGUACACCAGGAUUAGAGGAAGAUUAACUACUGCCCGCAACCUUUGACCACACAGUAUCUGCUUCCAUGACUGCACUCCCACAGGGCUUGAACCAUAUCCUUAAAAAUGUAGGACGUUUUUACAACAGUGCCCUAGAAGUAUUGUUUUUGGUUCUCUGAAGAACUUUAUUUUUAUUUAUCUUUUAUUCUCAUGUGAAGGACAAAUGUUUUAUGCAUAUUAAUGAUUUCUCAUUUAACCACACUAAGAGAUUAUUAUUAUUAAUUAUCAGGUUCUGUAUAUCUUUUGAUAGAUUUUUCUCAUUUGUUUAUGG
This 511-nucleotide long non-coding RNA is filed under the name Danio rerio (zebrafish). RNAcentral describes it as "si:ch211-173n18.5 (ENSDARG00000096269.3)". Lineage: Eukaryota; Metazoa; Chordata; Actinopteri; Cypriniformes; Danionidae. The record is from RNAcentral.